RNAcentral lists this ribosomal RNA (244 nucleotides) under uncultured bacterium. RNAcentral's name for it is "partial 16S ribosomal RNA". It matches the Rfam family "Bacterial small subunit ribosomal RNA", at positions 1255 to 1500 of the family's 1533-position model. The record is from RNAcentral.
CCGCGAGGUAGAGCAAAUCUCAAAAAGACAUCUCAGUUCAGAUUGCAGGCUGCAACUCGCCUGCAUGAAGUCGGAAUUGCUAGUAAUCGUAGGUCAGCAUACUACGGUGAAUACGUUCCCGGGCCUUGUACACACCGCCCGUCACACCAUGAGAGCCGGUAACACCCGAAGUCGGUAGUCUAACUUUUAGAGGACGCCGCCGAAGGUGGGACUGGUGAUUGGGGUGAAGUCGUAACAAGGUAUC